RNAcentral lists this ribosomal RNA (506 nucleotides) under uncultured bacterium. RNAcentral describes it as "partial 16S ribosomal RNA". It matches the Rfam family "Bacterial small subunit ribosomal RNA", at positions 30 to 523 of the family's 1533-position model. The record is from RNAcentral.
AUUGAACGCUGGCGGCAGGCCUAACACAUGCAAGUCGAACGGUAACAGGAAACAGCUUGCUGUUUCGCUGACGAGUGGCGGACGGGUGAGUAAUGUCUGGGAAACUGCCUGAUGGAGGGGGAUAACUACUGGAAACGGUAGCUAAUACCGCAUAACGUCGCAAGACCAAAGAGGGGGACCUUCGGGCCUCUUGCCAUCGGAUGUGCCCAGAUGGGAUUAGCUAGUAGGUGGGGUAACGGCUCACCUAGGCGACGAUCCCUAGCUGGUCUGGGAGGAUGACCAGCCAAACUGGAGCUGAGACACGGUCCAGACUCCUACGGGAGGCAGCAGUGGGGAAUAUUGCACAAUGGGCGCAAGCCUGAUGCAGCCAUGCCGCGUGUAUGAAGAAGGCCUUCGGGUUGUAAAGUACUUUCAGCGGGGAGGAAGGGAGUAAAGUCAAUACCUUUGCUCAUUGACGUUACCCGCAGAAGAAGCACCGGCUAACUCCGUGCCAGCAGCCGCCGUAA